UCAUGUCUCUGCAUGGGUAGUGGAAAACGAAGUUUUCAGAAGAGUAGUAUGGCCACUGUGCAAGGAUUACUCUCAAACUGGUGAAGCGUUCCAUAUUUUU
Molecule: small nuclear RNA, 100 nt
Filed under: Salvator merianae (Argentine black and white tegu)
Lineage: Eukaryota; Metazoa; Chordata; Lepidosauria; Squamata; Teiidae
Source: RNAcentral